This 468-nucleotide ribosomal RNA is filed under the name uncultured bacterium. Its description in RNAcentral is "partial 16S ribosomal RNA". It matches the Rfam family "Bacterial small subunit ribosomal RNA", at positions 28 to 507 of the family's 1533-position model. The record is from RNAcentral.
GACGAACGCUGGCGGCGUGCUUAACACAUGCAAGUCGAACGGAAAGGCCCUGCUUUUGUGGGGUGCUCGAGUGGCGAACGGGUGAGUAACACGUGAGUAACCUGCCCUUGACUUUGGGAUAACUUCAGGAAACUGGGGCUAAUACCGGAUAGGAGCUCCUGCUGCAUGGUGGGGGUUGGAAAGUUUCGGCGGUUGGGGAUGGACUCGCGGCUUAUCAGCUUGUUGGUGGGGUAGUGGCUUACCAAGGCUUUGACGGGUAGCCGGCCUGAGAGGGUGACCGGCCACAUUGGGACUGGGAUACGGCCCAGACUCUUACGGGAGGCAGCAGUGGGGAAUAUUGCACAAUGGGCGGAAGCCUGAUGCAGCAACGCCGCGUGCGGGAUGACGGCCUUCGGGUUGUAAACCGCUUUCGCCUGUGACGAAGCGUGAGUGACGGUAAUGGGUAAAGAAGCACCGGCUAACUACGUG